GACGAACGCUGGCGGCGUGCUUAACACAUGCAAGUCGAACGAUGAACCCGGAGCUUGCUCUGGGGGAUUAGUGGCGAACGGGUGAGUAACACGUGAGUAACCUGCCCUGGACUCUGGGAUAAGCGUUGGAAACGACGUCUAAUACCGGAUAGGACCUUGGAUCGCAUGAUCUGGGGUGGAAAGUUUUUUCGGUCUGGGAUGGACUCGCGGCCUAUCAGCUUGUUGGUGAGGUAAUGGCUCACCAAGGCGUCGACGGGUAGCCGGCCUGAGAGGGUGACCGGCCACACUGGGACUGAGACACGGCCCAGACUCCUACGGGAGGCAGCAGUGGGGAAUAUUGCACAAUGGGCGAAAGCCUGAUGCAGCAAUGCCGCGUGCGGGAUGACGGCCUUCGGGUUGUAAACCGCUUUUAGUAGGGAAGAAGGGCUUCGGCUUGACGGUACCUGCAGAAAAAGGACCGGCUAACUACGUG
This 472-nucleotide ribosomal RNA is filed under the name uncultured bacterium. RNAcentral describes it as "partial 16S ribosomal RNA". It matches the Rfam family "Bacterial small subunit ribosomal RNA", at positions 28 to 507 of the family's 1533-position model. The record is from RNAcentral.